Molecule: ribosomal RNA, 242 nt
Filed under: uncultured bacterium
Lineage: Bacteria
Description: partial 16S ribosomal RNA
Rfam family: Bacterial small subunit ribosomal RNA
Source: RNAcentral
GAUCAUGGCUCAGGAUAAACGCUAGCUACAGGCUUAACACAUGCAAGUCGAGGGGCAGCGGGAUUGAAGCUUGCUUCAAUUGCCGGCGACCGGCGCACGGGUGAGUAACGCGUAUCCAACCUUCCGUACACUCAGGGAUAGCCUUUCGAAAGAAAGAUUAAUACCUGAUGGUAUCUUAAGCACACAUGUAAUUAAGAUUAAAGAUUUAUCGGUGUACAAUGGGGAUGCGUUCCAUUAGGUAG